Molecule: ribosomal RNA, 497 nt
Filed under: uncultured bacterium
Lineage: Bacteria
Description: partial 16S ribosomal RNA
Rfam family: Bacterial small subunit ribosomal RNA
Source: RNAcentral
GAUGAACGCUGGCGGCGUGCCUAAUACAUGCAAGUCGAGCGAACAGACGAGGCGCUUGCUCCUCUGUCGUUAGCGGCGGACGUGUGAGUAACGCGUGUAUAACCUACUUAUAUGACUGAUAUCUUUUCGGGACACCGGAUCUAAUACCGUAUAAGAUAUUGAACCGCGUUGUUCAAUAGUGAAAUACGGUUUUGCUGGCUCUUCUAGCUGGAUCCGCGCCGCAUUAGAUGGUUGGUAAGUUAACGGCUUACGAAGGCAACGAUGCGUAACCGACCGCCGAGGGUGAUCGGCCACACUGGAACUGAGACACGGACAAGACUCCUACGGGAGGCACCAGUCGGGAAUCGUACGCAACAGGCGAAAACAUGACGGAGCAAGGCCGCGCCAGUGAUGAAGGCCUUCCGAGCGGAAAACCCUGUUAUUAGGGAAGAACAAAUGUGUCCGUAGACAUGCCGGUAUUGACGGUACCGAAUAAGAAAGCCACGACUAACUACGUG